UGGAUCAUUGAUGACCAGAAAAAAAAUCAUCUGGGAGUCCUCUGAGACAUCCAUGAUGACAAAAACAUUGGGAGUCUGAGGUCCAC
RNAcentral lists this small nucleolar RNA (86 nucleotides) under Rattus norvegicus (Norway rat). RNAcentral describes it as "Small nucleolar RNA SNORD113/SNORD114 family". It matches the Rfam family "Small nucleolar RNA SNORD113/SNORD114 family". From Rfam's summary of the family: The imprinted human domain at 14q32 contains two clusters of tandemly repeated small nucleolar RNAs named 14q(I) and 14q(II) snoRNAs. These two clusters are named SNORD113 and SNORD114 respectively in the HGNC approved gene symbol nomenclature. The snoRNAs found in both clusters are clearly related and are represented here by a single family. Lineage: Eukaryota; Metazoa; Chordata; Mammalia; Rodentia; Muridae. The record is from Rfam by way of RNAcentral.